Planococcus citri (citrus mealybug) is the source of this 1859-nucleotide long non-coding RNA. RefSeq lists it as uncharacterized. The transcript is spliced from 2 exons. The record is from RefSeq and is a predicted model, not a curated record. NCBI's taxonomy places the organism in Eukaryota, Metazoa, Arthropoda, Insecta, Hemiptera, Pseudococcidae.
UUUACUUACUACCUAGUACGUACUCCCGACGUUUCAGUUUAUAGAUUCUGAUCUUGGUGAACAGACUCUCUAUAAGUUCAUAAUCGCGUUUGUGAAUAUUUACGAAUUUUUGUGUCAUUUCCUUUAGUCAUUUUAUGGUGUAGCGAUCUGCCAAAAAUGAAGUGCAACUUUUUACAAUUUUUUAAAAUUUAUUUAAUAUUCGUGUUGAUUUACUACAAGCCUGCUUACGGAAGACCUAUUCCUACCAAGGGCGACGAUUAUUACGAGUACAUUCGACUGGGGAUGAGGCAAGUAAGGGAGGAGUUGGCGCUAAUGAAUAAGAAGUUAGAAGCGUUAGAUGCGCGAGAUAAUAAAAUGUUGGAAGCGUUAAUGGAUAAUAAGAAGUUGGAAGCGUUACGGGUGCAAAGUGAUAAUUUAUACUGACGGAUUGUGUACGGAAAUGGUGAGGUAACAAUUUUUUCAAAGUUGAUAAUAUAGCCUGCUAUCUUUCGAGUGUCCAAGAAUUGGGGACUUGAAUAAAAGAAAAACUAAAAUAAAACAAUCUGCUCUGAAGUUUCAUCCCUCUCAACUAGAAGUUUUUCCAAAGUGUGAUAGUCAUUGGUAUUUGACAACCCUCGCCGUUUAUUAGAUUGCAAGUAAUAUGUACAAAUUUUGCUAAAAUCAAAUUUCCGAAAGCGAUUCUAUCAAAAUUCAGAAGCUUUAUACCCUUUUCCCUUUGAUACAUAAUUAUUUCGUUGAAAUAAGAAGAAGGCUUCAUUGGACUACUUGAAUUUUUUUGAAAAAAUUUUAUCAGAAACUAAAAGAACAUGAAAAAAAAUUGAAAAUUUGUCCAUUAGAACUUGCGUGGUGAUUUUUUUAAAAAUUGCCUUUCUUUACCAUGGCAUACAUCGAGAAGCGCUACUUUCAAAAAAUGAUUACGCGAGUUAUUAUGAACCAAUUUUUAUUUUUUGUACUUACUUAAAAUUUUUAUCUUUUACUUUGCAGGAACUUUCAAUUUUUGACAAAAAAUUUUCAAAAAAGGAAAUUCCUAACUUGUUUAUUGUUCACUGAAGUUUACACUCCGUGUUGAAAAAAAUUGAAUAAUCAAUGAAAAAUGGGCGUUUUGAGUGGUUAUUUCAAUGGAAUAUGAGAAAAUUGCUUUCAUUUUGCAUUGAAACAAUAACUCAAACCCUUAUCGUACUUGAUUUUACCAUAUUAACGUGGGGACAUAUUUCCCAUUUUUGGCUUAUAAAACCCCCUAUUCUUGGAACUGCUGUGAAUAGUUACAGUUGAAACUUAUUAGUUUUUUUUUGAAGAUUUCUAUGAUUUUAAUUCCAGCGGACAUCUGGAAAGAAGAAUAAAUAAGCAGGAGUUGGAGGUAGCAAAAAAACAGAUACCUACUCAAAUUAACUAAAGAACAAUUCGAGAAAAUGCCUCCAGUAAACAUUACUGUCCCAAAUGUGUAUUUUGCUGAUUAUCCGUUUGAUUGGAGACGAGGGACUUCUUUUCAGGGGACCCAACCUACAUUAUUUCUUGAAAAUUGGUAAAAUCCAAUCGAUACGUAGUAAUUCCCAUUAGUCACAACUAUAGUUCGUCAGAUAAUUUUUGGAAGUACAAUUUCCAGGAGAUUAAUUUCACAAAUAAUGGAAUUAGAUGGAAGGAGUAUACUAAAGAAUUAACCUUGGACAACAGAUGCCAUUGAUAUCUAGAUUUGGAAAUGAAUUUAUGAUAAUAGGUAUUGCUGCUUAUGACGUACCUUUCGAAAUUUCUUUUUGUUUGUUAAAGGGAUACCUACAGUUGGAUAAACGUUUUUUAUACCUACUAUCUAGUAUAUCAUAAGAACCUAUGUAAAUAAAUAAAAAAAUACUUACGUCUAUUAA